AUCCGUGCGGGGCUCGAUUCGUCAGGGCUGCUUGUGGACGGAAGUCGGCUUGUUUUAUUACUUCGAUGUCGAACUGCUUCAUACAUUUGAUGUCAAAUUCAUACAGUGAACGGCAGGACGAGCAGUGACAUGGCCGCUGAUGACAAGUCCUCGACGGACUGGAGCGUCGACCCGCCUGUCAUCUCGCCCACCAGCCCCUCCCAUCUGACCCACUUCAAACCACUGACUCCAGAGCAGGAUGACCCCCCCCUCCGCUCCGCAUACAGCUCGUUUGUCAACCUGUUUCGUUUCAACAACAAAGAGGAGGGACGUCCUCCCUCGACGGUUUCAGAGAAGCCAGAUGUGACGCCUCCUUCUCCUCAGUCAGAGAGGAGCUGGUCCACCAGUCCAACACACUCCCUCUACAAUUCCAGGACGCACCGGAAACAGCUCCCAGACCUCCGACGUACCUCCACUGCCUCCGGUA
Molecule: long non-coding RNA, 466 nt
Organism: Cottoperca gobio
Lineage: Eukaryota; Metazoa; Chordata; Actinopteri; Perciformes; Bovichtidae
Exons: 3
Source: RefSeq, a predicted model, not a curated record